AAACCAGCAUCUGACAAUUCAAAGUUCAAUUUUCUAAUGGCCCAAUAUGAUUUAUGCUCUAAUUCAACAGGUAGAUGACAUGCUUUUCCAUAGACUAGCCGAUACGGGGACAUACCAAGAAUAGUUUUAUAAGCAGUACGGUAAGCCCACAAUGCAUCAGAAAGUUUUAAAGACCAGUCUUUGCGUGAUGGAUUCACCGUUUUCUCUAAAAUUUGUUUAAUCU
Molecule: long non-coding RNA, 223 nt
Filed under: Phoenix dactylifera (date palm)
Lineage: Eukaryota; Viridiplantae; Streptophyta; Magnoliopsida; Arecales; Arecaceae
Description: long non-coding RNA (PDAC_LNC010639)
Source: RNAcentral